Molecule: non-coding RNA, 30 nt
Filed under: Rattus norvegicus (Norway rat)
Lineage: Eukaryota; Metazoa; Chordata; Mammalia; Rodentia; Muridae
Source: RNAcentral
UGGGAAGCUUUUGCCUUAUACAUUCUGUUA